Triticum dicoccoides is the source of this 857-nucleotide long non-coding RNA. RefSeq lists it as uncharacterized. NCBI's taxonomy places the organism in Eukaryota, Viridiplantae, Streptophyta, Magnoliopsida, Poales, Poaceae. The transcript has 6 exons. The record is from RefSeq and is a predicted model, not a curated record.
CGUCUUCCUCCUUGGUCUGCCCAGGCUCCCCCUCGGUCCGCGUCCCUGAGGCGAGAGCAUGUCGGCGGAGGAGGAUUUGGCUGGUGAGAUGGCAGGGCGCAAGGAGAUGGCGCUCGACCUGGCAAGUUCGUUGACAAGGGCGUCCAGGUCAAGCUCACCGGCGGCCGCCAAGGCAAUGCCCCUGGACCCCAUUCUCCGCCCAUCCGGCAGUGUGCUGGAUGUCGUCCUCCUCGACACGGCCGUCCCCGAAGAGCUCUCUUGGUCAGAGGAGGUGGAGCAGCAAGGCCUCCUAUCCUCCAGCGCAUGGACCGACGGCUGCGUCCUCUUGCUCUCCUAGCGUGAUCUGACCUCUUCUGUCUUCACCUGACCACGACCACAACGAUGGCGAGGAGAAGGCUACAAGGAGGUGGACAACCUUCAGGCUGCCACACAAGAUGACCAAGGCCUUCGAGUACAAGAGGCUGCUGCUUGACUAUAACAGCGAACACGACCAACAAGUUCUGCCAGCGCGAGGCAAGCAACGACAUGCUCGGUUACCCCCACCUGUGAGUCGUGCUCCCCUUGCCCAGCCGCCCCUUCCCGCAAGUCUCUCUAGAUUUGGGAGCACUGCUAGAUCCUCUGCACUGGAAACGAUCAUAUAUUCAGAUGAUCAGCAUCUAAAGUCGUUGAGUGGCUGCUGCUGUGAACGAAGAUCAGAAGAAGCCUAGAGAUGUGCACAAUAGUUUUAGUUGAUGUUGCCACCAUGUUUUGGUGCGUGUGUAUUUGUUUCCGAUUGUAUGUACACUUGAUGGAUCGUGCGGAUGUGUAUGAGCUGUUGUGAGUUUCAUUGAGGGAUUUCUAGAUUUGAUCAUUUAAUU